Molecule: ribosomal RNA, 553 nt
Filed under: Annulohypoxylon sp. 8Af31
Lineage: Eukaryota; Fungi; Ascomycota; Sordariomycetes; Xylariales; Hypoxylaceae
Description: eukaryotic LSU rRNA
Rfam family: Eukaryotic large subunit ribosomal RNA
Source: RNAcentral
UUGCCCUAGUAACGGCGAGUGAAGCGGCAAAAGCUCAAAUUUGAAAUCUGGCCCUAGCGGUCCGAGUUGUAAUUUGCAGAGGAUGCUUUUGGUGCGGUGCCUUCCGAGUUCCCUGGAACGGGACGCCAUAGAGGGUGAGAGCCCCGUACGGUUGGACACCUAGCCUCUAUAUAGCUCCUUCGACGAGUCGAGUAGUUUGGGAAUGCUGCUCUAAAUGGGAGGUAAAUUUCUUCUAAAGCUAAAUACCGGCCAGAGACCGAUAGCGCACAAGUAGAGUGAUCGAAAGAUGAAAAGCACUUUGAAAAGAGGGUUAAAUAGCACGUGAAAUUGUUGAAAGGGAAGCGUUUGCGACCAGACCUUCUCCAGGGGGAUCAACCGUUAUUUUUAGCGGUGCACUCCCCCUGGUUUAGGCCAGCAUCGGUUCUCUUAGGGGGAUAAAGGCCUGGGGAACGUAGCUCUUUAGGGAGUGUUAUAGCCCCUAGCGUAAUACCCUUCAGGGGACCGAGGACCGCGCUUCGGCAAGGAUGCUGGCGUAAUGGUCGUCAACGACCCG